Molecule: ribosomal RNA, 459 nt
Filed under: Thalassiosira sp. A11 LG-2014
Lineage: Eukaryota; Bacillariophyta; Thalassiosirophyceae; Thalassiosirales; Thalassiosiraceae
Also listed under: 3 other names
Description: eukaryotic LSU rRNA
Rfam family: 5.8S ribosomal RNA (bases 1-106)
Source: RNAcentral
GAAAUGCGAUACGUAAUGCGAAUUGCAGGACCUCGUGAAUCAUCAAAAUUUUGAACGCACAUUGCGCUUUUGGGUAAUGCCCAAGAGCAUGCUUAUCUGAGUGUCCCUAAACCCCACUCAGCCACUGCUGCAGGUAAAAAUGCCGCAGUGAGCUGGACUAUGAUGGUGCGCGGCUCUGCCGUGCUCCAUUCAAAUCCAUUGGUUUGUUGUUAUUCCUAGUUGAGUACUAAGCAGACGCGACAAAAGAUUCGGUAGAUGCACUGACGUGUGUUUCUUAUCUUGAGUUGCGGAAGCCGAAUCAAGACUUGGGAAUUUCAUCAAAUUGGUUCUUCGGGUCUAACAAACCCGGCAGUUCCGCAAUGAAUGUAACCUAUCUAUGGAUCUCAGAUUAAGUAAGACUACCCGCUGAAUUUAAGCAUAUAAUUAAGCGGAGGAAAAGAAACUAACAAGGAUUCCCCU